This is a long non-coding RNA of Bubalus bubalis (water buffalo), 3730 nucleotides long. RefSeq lists it as uncharacterized. Lineage: Eukaryota; Metazoa; Chordata; Mammalia; Artiodactyla; Bovidae. The record is from RefSeq and is a predicted model, not a curated record. The transcript has 3 exons.
CUCCUGAGAUUAGGUUAUAAAAAGACCGUUUCUUCUGUCUCUCACUGGCCCUUUCUUAUUCUCGCCCUCUGGGUCCUCAUUCUGGGGGAAGCCAGUGGCCAUGCUGUCAGCUGCCGUAUGGCGAGGCCCCCAAGGUGAGCAACUGAUGUCUCUGGCCAACAGGCAGUAAGAUCCUGCAAGUCUGGUUCAGGGUAAGUCAGGAAGUCAAUGCUUUGUGCUCCACAGGGCAGAAAAUGAGAAUGAGAGAGAGUGAGAGAACCUCUCGCUGGGGAGGCAAGGACAGACACCUCUUAGAAUGUGGCAUCCUACUAGGAUGGAGGAAAACAUAGAAAACAUAUUUUUCACAAAUUUAUUCCAGGAAAAUCAAAUGCUGUUUUCUUUCUUUUUUGGAAAGAGUGAAGUGUGAUGAAGACAGAAUUUUUUUUUUUUUGUAAGUUUCCCAACUGAGGAGCUGUUAUUAUUUUUUCUUUGCUAUUUUUUUUUUUUUUUUUUACUGAUCUGAUAUUUUGGAUAUCUUUUUUCACCAUGAUCUUUUUAUUGUUUUUCUUUCAUAGAGAACUAGAAAUACAACACUUGCUACUUCCCCCCACUCCUCCAAAAUCUGGUUUUUAUGAUACUCAGAUACAAGACUAUUUUGGGAUCCCUCCGCCACACCUUUAAAUAAAUCUAUGUUGAUGCUUUCAGAGUGGCUUUGGGAGGGGAGAUUCAGUCCCAGAGAGGCACUGAGACCAUGCUUGGCUCUGACAGGCUCCCUUGAAAGGUGCAGCAUAUGCUGGGGUCAGGAGGGCUCCUACAAUUGCUCUCACAAACUGAAACUCAGGAUUUUUAAUCAGGGCACGUGUGUUCAGUUCUGCCACUUAACAUCUGUGUGGCUUACAGCAAAUUCCUUCAUCUCUCUGGUUAAUUUCACUCACCUGAAUAUGGAUAUGCACGUGGUGGUGCUAUUUUCCCCUCCAAGUUCUGAUAGACUUUAAAUAACACAGUACAGAAAAAAAGAGCGUCCUAAGUGGGAAACUAACUUCAUAUAACGAUGCAAUGGUCGUAAGUCUGAGAAGGGGGGUACACAGCACGCGAACCGGCCACCUCCAGCGGCAGUCUCCUGACAGCAUCCAUCUGAACAGCUUCAGAGAACACUGCACACCUGAGGAUCCGUCUGCAGUGACCACGCCCAGCAGGGGGCCUGGCCAUUUCCACCCAUAACCUGGUCAGGGAAGAACCCUGACAGCACCAUACGAGGAAGCCUGGACUCCCUUCCCUGAGAAUCAGAGACCAAAUGGAGACAGAAGUUCAGCCUAGAGCCAGCACCAACUGCCAGACAUGUGGGUGAGGCCACCUGGGACUCACCUGCCCCAGUUGAACUGCCAGAUGAUGCCACUGCCGGAGCCAAAUGGGGAGUGACAGCGAAAGAGCCACCCAGUUGAGCCCAUUCCAAAAUGCUGAACAACAACAGAAUCUUAAAUUCCAAGACCAUUCCCCAGUGGUCCAGUGGUUAAGACUCCGUGCUUCCACUGCAGGGGGCCUGGGAUGGACCCUGGUCAGGGAACUAAUAUCCCACAUGCCAUGUGGUAUGGUCAAAAUUUUCUUUUUAAUUCCAAGAAAAUUCAGCGAGAUUUCUAGGAAUCGAGUGAUCUGGGGCAUGUUGAUGUAUUUCUUCCAAGGUGAACUACAGGCUUCUGUAUCUGGUCCCUUCUCCCUCUAUGAAAUAGACACAAUGCCUCCUGGGUCUCUCUGGAUCUUAGAGGUGACAUAUGCUUCAUUUGGUGACCCGUUUUUCCAAGUAACAUGAAGGCUGCCCACGCUGAUUAAGAAGCAGAGGGAAAAAAGGCACUGGAUCACGUCAGAGCUGUCACUCAAGCUGCUCUGCCCUCAGGCUGCGUAACCAGCAGAUCUGAUGGUGUUUGAAGUCUCUGGUAGACACAGAUGGUUUCUGGAGCCCAUGGCAGGCCCCAUGGAAGAAUCACAGCACAAAUUUUGAAGGAUUUAGAGUGAAGCUAUGCCAUCCUCUUCAGAUCCUAUUCUUCUGAGAGUCCCUGGUUUGAUAUAGGCCCUGGUAGAGAGCAAAUGUUUGGCUGCAACACACCAAAUUACUAGACAACAUGAUUUCUCCAUCGUGAAUCGGAUGUUGUCUGACGCAUCACGUUACAACCCACUGGCAUGCACUGCAGCACUCCAUCAUCAGGGAAAAUGGUGUGUACCGAUUGGAUUAAUAGGAUCUGAAGGUUCAAGCAAAGUCCAUGGGCAGAUGACCAUGACUCCCAGGACUCUUCCUCUGUCUGCAUCAUCUCCCCUCCCUCGUUAGUGCCCAUCACCUCAAGGGGAAUUCCCCAUGACCAGUUAACUAAAGAAGAAAAUAGGCAAGCCUUGUUGACAGAGAGUUCUGCACAAGAUUCUAGCAAUAGGCCAAAGGUGGACAGAGGCAGAGCUUCAGCCACAGAGAAGACCUAAAGGGCCAUCAAGGCAAUAAACUGAAGGCCUUGCAGGGGCCAGAACCUCAAGAAGCACACACACCUCUGGCUAUUCAGUUUGCUUAAAAGAAGAGGUCUCUGUCUAUACUGGUUCAUGAACACUGACUAACAAUUUGGCUGGAGAGAUGAGGAUUCGAAAGUAAGAUGGUUGGGAAAUUGAUAAUGAGGGUGUCCGGGGAAGAUGUGUGUAGAUAGACCUCUCUGAAUGGGCACAACCAUGAAGACAUUUGUGUCAUGAGUGAAUGCUCACCAAAGAGCACCUUCGCCAGAGGAGGACCUUCAUAACCAGGUGGGUGAAAUGAUUCAUUCUCUGGAUGUCUGCUGACCUCUUUCCCCAGUCAUCUUGUCUUUAUAAUCAAUGGGCUCAUGGGCCCAGGGCAUGGUGGCAGGAAUGGAGAUUAAGCCCAGGCUGGGGCUGACAUUCAUCGAAGCCAGCCUGGCUGCGGUCACUGCUGAAUGCCCCACCGGCCGACAGCACAGACUGCAAGUGAGCCCCUGAUGUGCACAGAAGUUGGGUCAAAACACGGUGGAUGGGAAGCUGCAUGGUUCACUUGAAGAGCCAGGAACUAGGAGUGACAAGUCGGAGGUUUCCAUUUCUUCUCCCAACAACAGCAGCAGAAACAUGAGUGGCUACAUCUGUAAUGAAGUGAGGGCACAGGAGAAAGUUGAAGUUGGAGUCAAGAGCUGAGAUCCUGAGUGGUGGGGUAGGGGUGGGCAGGGAUCAGCUGGGAGAACUGGCAUCAGCUGGAUCAGCUGGCAGCAACUAGGUACCACUUCAUGGGUGGGGGACUCUGUCACUGUGUUAGGAAGCCCGGACAACAAUGACCUGAGGGGCCCUGGAGGCAUUGAUGCUGUCUGCUCUGGGUCGCUCACUAGCUCUGUGACCUUGGCUGUGUCUCCAGUCCUCUCGGAACCUCGGUACCCUCAUCUGUCAACUGCAGGGCUGCUCGGGAGGGAUGAAUGAGAUACACCGUAUGUGCAGUUCACGGCACAGCGCCUGUGCUGGUGUGCUCAUGGCGUGACCCCAGGUGAAUGUCCUCACCCUGCUCUCAGACGCUGCUGUCGAACUAGGUCAGUGACUGCUAAAUUGAACAAGCCUCAGAAUCACUCAGAAACUUGUUUAAAAUACAGACCCCUGGGGCCAAACCUGGGUCUGCUGGUCUGGGAUGUACAGAGGCAGGACCUGAGAGGCUGUACUGUCAAACAAUCACCCCAGGGGUUCCGGUCCGCAGACGGCUCCGUGGACGGGGCUGGAGGCCUCAGCA